Molecule: unclassified non-coding RNA, 259 nt
Filed under: soil metagenome
Description: partial contains small subunit ribosomal RNA, internal transcribed spacer 1, and 5.8S ribosomal RNA
Source: RNAcentral
UUUCCGUAGGUGAACCUGCGGAAGGAUCAUUACCAAAUCCAAAAAAAAACUUUCUAUCAACACCCCAAUGUGAACUGAGAAUGGUUUCGUCCCUCCGAAUUCUUCUCUUCUUCGGAAGAAAGGGAGGAGGAGGGAUGUUCAAACACAUUUUUUUUUCAACCCCUUUUCAACCAUUAAAAACCCCAUUUUUUUAAUGCUGAAAGCAAAACAAAAAAUACGAAACAUGAGACAACUUUUAACGGUGGAUCUCUUGGCUCGU